AUUGAACGCUGGCGGCAGGCCUAACACAUGCAAGUCGAGCGGAUGAGUGGAGCUUGCUCCAUGAUUCAGCGGCGGACGGGUGAGUAAUGCCUAGGAAUCUGCCUAUUAGUGGGGGACAACGUUUCGAAAGGAACGCUAAUACCGCAUACGUCCUACGGGAGAAAGCAGGGGACCUUCGGGCCUUGCGCUAAUAGAUGAGCCUAGGUCGGAUUAGCUAGUUGGUGAGGUAAUGGCUCACCAAGGCGACGAGCCGUAACUGGUCUGAGAGGAUGAUGAGUCACACUGGAACUGAGACACGGUCCAGACUCCUACGGGAGGCAGCAGUGGGGAAUAUUGGACAAUGGGCGAAAGCCUGAUCCAGCCAUGCCGCGUGUGUGAAGAAGGUCUUCGGAUUGUAAAGCACUUUAAGUUGGGAGGAAGGGUUGUACGUUAAUACCGUGCAAUUUUGACGUUACCGACAGAAUAAGCACCGGCUAACUCUGUGCCAGCAGCCGCGGUAA
This 500-nucleotide ribosomal RNA is filed under the name uncultured bacterium. RNAcentral describes it as "partial 16S ribosomal RNA". It matches the Rfam family "Bacterial small subunit ribosomal RNA", at positions 30 to 523 of the family's 1533-position model. The record is from RNAcentral.